GAUCGUUAUGCAAAUGUCGUUACUGACUUUAAAAAUUUUAUUAAAAACGAAAACAGAUACAACGAUUUAACAGCCUUGACAAAUCCUAUAUAUUCUUUUAUAAAGCAAUGGAAAAAUGGAGGCUUUGCCAAAUCAAAUAAUUUACAACCAAAACAAUAUUGUAAUGCCUACGCGAUUCCAGGAAUGGAUUUGAAAUUAG
This is a long non-coding RNA of Rhopalosiphum padi (bird cherry-oat aphid), 199 nucleotides long. RefSeq lists it as uncharacterized. The record is from RefSeq and is a predicted model, not a curated record. The transcript is spliced from 4 exons. NCBI's taxonomy places the organism in Eukaryota, Metazoa, Arthropoda, Insecta, Hemiptera, Aphididae.